CGGUGGAGGGUGAAGUGGCGUGCCACGACAGAUGCAGCCUCCCCAUUGCACGGGUACGACCUCUUCGCCUGUGUUUUCUUCUCUCCUCUCGUAGGGAUCUAACAAGCGCUGGAAGCAUGGCGGACUUGGACAGGCAUGCAGAGCUCCCUCGCAGACCUACAAGGAGGACUUCGAAGCUCUCUCGGUGACUGACACCGGAAUGGAAAUCAUCACGGAUAAGGCCAGGGGCAACGAACUGUACGCCACACGAGACUUCGAAAUGCGCAGUGCCAUUCACGAAGAGACGGUGCUCUGCUGCUCGCAAAGCAUGGACGACUUUAAGGAUGAGGCGCCGGUGUGUGCUUGUUUGCAGUCGCUGGAGACGCCGCGCACGCAGGAGAUGCGCAACACUCGGCGCAAAACAACAACAAAGAAACAGCGCUGGCCCUCUUCUACCCGGGUCUGCAAGCGCCACUGGAACGAGUGCCCUGAUUGUGGUUGGGGCGGGGCUGCCGAGACUCCUUUUUUCGCUCUGGUAACUACCGUGAACGCGCUCUGAAGAAGUUUCGCCAGGAAAGCUGCGCCGGCCGCAUGAAGGUGUCCCAGCGCAUAGGCUACUCCAAGCGAAUGCAGCAGGACUGGGUGCGGGGCGGCGCAAAUUGCAGCGAUUCCGCGAUGGUGGGAUCGUGCAUCGGCGCGGAGACACCGCGUGCUCAUCUUCUGCACGGAGCCUGCCGCUAGCAUGCCUUUGGCCGUCCGCGCAGCUCAUUCACACACAGCAGCACCUCCUUCACGUACUACAUCAUGGAAGACAAUCCGACGAAGAUCUCAGGCGGUGCCGCGGCUGCAGCGUACGCGGCCGCCUUCGCGACUGGCAAGUGCGACUCGAUGCCGGUUCCUGCAGUGAGGCCUGCAUACACACAGCCGGCGCGGAAUGCGGACACCUUCUGCGCCUCCAGCCUCGACCUCCUCUGCGACCUGUUAGACAUGGACUCCGAGGAGCGUGCCUUUGCGCACGCGCGGCGGUGGCCGGACCUCAUGGGGGCGGUGCUGCUCAAUGGCAGGAACGGUAGCCACCGGUGUUUUACGAGAUGCACCGGGAACUCGUCAACUGUGCGGCCGAUGGCGGACGAUGCAUGGGCGCGUCCAAGUGGGAGGGGGGGGGGGUGGCAGUUUUCCCCGACUAGCAGCGCGAAGGACGUGACUAACUUUUUGCGCAGCUCGCGUAGACAGGGCAUCCGCUGAGUUGGGUGGCUCUUCAACCAUUCGUGUGGGCCGAAGCUCAACGUGCAGUAGGCCGCUGUGAACGAUGUUACCCUGACUGUCGUGGCGCUGCGGGAUGUGAAGGCGGGUGAGGCGCUCAUUUUCAGCUAGGCCGACUCAAGCUUUUUGCUCGUGGUGCGCCAACAGGAGCUGUUCGGACACUACCUCGUGGAGUGUGGGUGCCCUCGCUCUUUUGUGGAGAAAAGGGGGAAUGGGAAUAGGCGAGUGAAGGGGUGGGGGUGGAGCGACAAAAAAAGGGUGAGGGAAGUCGGCGCUGGUGUCUCACGACGCAAACAUCUUUGUAUCACACCCCUUCCAUUCUGCUUCCCUGCGACCUCGGGCGGUGUGUGGUACGCGGCGCGGUCCACCGCCAACGAUGGGUGUGCUUUCCACGGUGGCACUCAAGGCGCGGAUAGAGAUGUGUGUGUCGCAGAGUCGGUCACUUGUGCGGGUGCUGAGGCCUGGGGGACUCAGUCGUCGGAUAAUGUGUGACGGAUCACACGAGUUCGCGCCGGUGGAACUCUUGCACGUCUGGUGACCGGCUGGCGCGGUGGAGUCGUGAUGGUGUGGCGGCGUGGGUAUCCGUGUGUACAAUGCUGCAGCCGUGCGAGAGGCGGAUGCGCCAGUUGGAAUGCGUGAGCCCGGAUGUGUGUGGCCGUCUUGCGAUGAUCGGGAUGCUUGUUCGGCUACCGGCCGCGCCAUAGGCGGUGCAUGUGGUGGCCAUGACUUCUAUUUCUUUUGCUUUUCUUCCUCGCUGAACUGCUCGGGCGCCGGCGACGGCGCGUAACUCUGCAGGC
RNAcentral lists this unclassified non-coding RNA (2039 nucleotides) under Leishmania donovani. Its description in RNAcentral is "gene:unknown". Lineage: Eukaryota; Euglenozoa; Kinetoplastea; Trypanosomatida; Trypanosomatidae. The record is from RNAcentral.